This 504-nucleotide long non-coding RNA is filed under the name Xyrichtys novacula (pearly razorfish). Lineage: Eukaryota; Metazoa; Chordata; Actinopteri; Labriformes; Labridae. The record is from RNAcentral.
CUGCUGUUUAACCCAGUCUUUGGUCGGAGGUGAAGAAGAGAUGACAUCCUCCACACCAUCCCCCUGCUGCUCUCAACAACCAUCAUCGCUGUGCUGGACAGACUGCAGCACCCACCAGGACCCUUCUCUCAUGGACUACACAAACAUGCGUUUUACCUGCUCGUGCUCCAGAUGUCCUGAAGCAGCUCUCAAGGACCACCAGACACCAGGCUGAAGCAGAACUGAUGCUGUACCUGUCACUCACUGGGCUCGUUCCUGCUGAACCUCCAAGAGAUAAACCCCUCUUCAAGAAAGUAUGAGGUAAUGUCUUGGUGAACUUGUGUUCAUUUAUUUUUUCUUAGUUAUCUUAGCUGCUGUAUUAAUGCUUGUGAUGCUAUUGUACAGCUCUGCUGAUACCAUCGUCUUUAACAGCAGUGUUUUCUCCCAGGUCUUCUUCAAGCCAGUUAAGAGAGGAAGAACAGCUUAGACACUCAGGCAGCUGAACGCACCAAAGGUGGACAUCAU